UUUAUAUAUUUGAUAAAUUGUGAUGGUUAGAUUUAAACAGAAUUGUGAAAUAAAAAGAGAUAGAGGGAACUCACAUUUGAAGGUGCAGCUUAUAUAGUUUCUGCUAUUUUUGGUCUAUUUCUUGUGGCUAGUGCAGCACAAUGAGGUGCAAUUCUUGUUUUUUUGCCAUAUUUCUAGUGUCCGAUACAGUCUUUAAUGUUGUAGUUUCUGGGAUUUGACAGGACUUUCCUCGAAAAAACGGCAAACUUCAGGUCCUUAUUAGGCAUGCUACACCAAGCUGUGAUGAAUUCUCUCAAUGGAUGAAGAGAAUCAUAUAACUACUAACCAUUAUGAGAUUUUAAUCCCAAGUAAGUUGAGAUCGACUAUAUGAAUUAUUGUAGACCACGUCGUUUCAUUUCAGCUCAUCUUAAAGGCCGU
This 417-nucleotide long non-coding RNA is filed under the name Nicotiana tabacum (common tobacco). Its description in RNAcentral is "long non-coding RNA (NTAB_LNC004968)". The record is from RNAcentral. Lineage: Eukaryota; Viridiplantae; Streptophyta; Magnoliopsida; Solanales; Solanaceae.